This 1389-nucleotide ribosomal RNA is filed under the name bacterium NLAE-zl-P904. Its description in RNAcentral is "16S ribosomal RNA". It matches the Rfam family "Bacterial small subunit ribosomal RNA". The record is from RNAcentral.
AGUCGAGGGGCAGCAUUUCAGUUUGCUUGCAAACUGGAGAUGGCGACCGGCGCACGGGUGAGUAACACGUAUCCAACCUGCCGAUAACUCGGGGAUAGCCUUUCGAAAGAAAGAUUAAUACCCGAUGGUAUAAUCAGACCGCAUGGUCUUAUUAUUAAAGAAUUUCGGUUAUCGAUGGGGAUGCGUUCCAUUAGGCAGUUGGUGAGGUAACGGCUCACCAAACCUUCGAUGGAUAGGGGUUCUGAGAGGAAGGUCCCCCACAUUGGAACUGAGACACGGUCCAAACUCCUACGGGAGGCAGCAGUGAGGAAUAUUGGUCAAUGGGCGCAGGCCUGAACCAGCCAAGUAGCGUGAAGGAUGACUGCCCUAUGGGUUGUAAACUUCUUUUAUAUGGGAAUAAAGUUUUCCACGUGUGGAAUUUUGUAUGUACCAUAUGAAUAAGGAUCGGCUAACUCCGUGCCAGCAGCCGCGGUAAUACGGAGGAUCCGAGCGUUAUCCGGAUUUAUUGGGUUUAAAGGGAGCGUAGGUGGACAGUUAAGUCAGUUGUGAAAGUUUGCGGCUCAACCGUAAAAUUGCAGUUGAUACUGGCUGUCUUGAGUACAGUAGAGGUGGGCGGAAUUCGUGGUGUAGCGGUGAAAUGCUUAGAUAUCACGAAGAACUCCGAUUGCGAAGGCAGCUCACUGGACUGCAACUGACACUGAUGCUCGAAAGUGUGGGUAUCAAACAGGAUUAGAUACCCUGGUAGUCCACACAGUAAACGAUGAAUACUCGCUGUUUGCGAUAUACAGUAAGCGGCCAAGCGAAAGCAUUAAGUAUUCCACCUGGGGAGUACGCCGGCAACGGUGAAACUCAAAGGAAUUGACGGGGGCCCGCACAAGCGGAGGAACAUGUGGUUUAAUUCGAUGAUACGCGAGGAACCUUACCCGGGCUUAAAUUGCAUUUGAAUAANNUGGAAACAGGUUAGCCGCAAGGCAAAUGUGAAGGUGCUGCAUGGUUGUCGUCAGCUCGUGCCGUGAGGUGUCGGCUUAAGUGCCAUAACGAGCGCAACCCUUAUCUUUAGUUACUAACAGGUCAUGCUGAGGACUCUAGAGAGACUGCCGUCGUAAGAUGUGAGGAAGGUGGGGAUGACGUCAAAUCAGCACGGCCCUUACGUCCGGGGCUACACACGUGUUACAAUGGGGGGUACAGAAGGCAGCUACCUGGUGACAGGAUGCUAAUCCCAAAAGCCUCUCUCAGUUCGGAUCGAAGUCUGCAACCCGACUUCGUGAAGCUGGAUUCGCUAGUAAUCGCGCAUCAGCCAUGGCGCGGUGAAUACGUUCCCGGGCCUUGUACACACCGCCCGUCAAGCCAUGAAAGCCGGGGGUACCUGAAGUACGUAACCGCAAGGAG